GGCGGACGGGUGAGUAAUGCCUAGGAAUCUGCCUGGUAGUGGGGGACAACGUUUCGAAAGGAACGCUAAUACCGCAUACGUCCUACGGGAGAAAGCAGGGGACCUUCGGGCCUUGCGCUAUCAGAUGAGCCUAGGUCGGAUUAGCUAGUUGGUGAGGUAAUGGCUCACCAAGGCGACGAUACGUAACUGGUCUGAGAGGAUGAUCAGUCACACUUGGAACUGAGACACGGUCCAGACUCCUACGGGAGGCAGCAGUGGGGAAUAUUGGACAAUGCCCGAAAGCCUGAUCCAGCCAUGCCCGCGUGUGUGAAGAAGGUCUUCGGAUUGUAAAGCACUUUAAGUUGGGAGGACGGGUUGUAGAUUAAUACUCUGCAAUUUUGACGUUACCGACAGAAUAAGCACCGGCUAACUCUGUGCCAGCAGCCGCGGUAAUACAGAUAGUGCAAGCGUUAAUCGGAAUUCUGGGCGUAAAGCGCGCGUAGGUGGUUUGUUAAGUUGGAUGUGAAAUCCCCGGGCUCAACCUGGGAACUGCAUCCAAAACUGGCAAGCUAGAGUAUGGUAGAGGGUGGUGGAAUUUCCUGUGUACCGGUGAAAUGCGUAAUAUAGGAAGGACACCAGUGGCGAAGGCNACCCCUGGACUGAUACUGACCUGANGUGCNAAAGCGUGGGGAGCAACAGGAUUAACCCUAGCUCCGG
Molecule: ribosomal RNA, 696 nt
Filed under: Pseudomonas sp. THM-5
Lineage: Bacteria; Pseudomonadati; Pseudomonadota; Gammaproteobacteria; Pseudomonadales; Pseudomonadaceae
Description: bacterial SSU rRNA
Rfam family: Bacterial small subunit ribosomal RNA
Source: RNAcentral